GGUUGUGGCUCAGUGGUAGAGUGCUUGCCCGGCAUGCAUGAGGCACUGGGUUUGAUUCUCAGCACCA
RNAcentral lists this transfer RNA (67 nucleotides) under Marmota monax (woodchuck). Its description in RNAcentral is "tRNA.Ala". It matches the Rfam family "tRNA". From Rfam's summary of the family: Transfer RNA (tRNA) molecules are approximately 80 nucleotides in length. Their secondary structure includes four short double-helical elements and three loops (D, anti-codon, and T loops). The record is from RNAcentral. Lineage: Eukaryota; Metazoa; Chordata; Mammalia; Rodentia; Sciuridae.